GAGGCCCCCAUUACACGAUUAGCACCUCGCCAGACGCACACAAGCAGCCGUUCAUAGAGGUCCGGAAUGUGACGUACCAUGGCAGCGGGCCCAGAGAGGAGGCCCGGGCCAUGUGCUCCGUCCGCACGCAAGAGGUUAACGCCACCGCCAACGCUACCAUCACAAGGAGGCUGCAUGGAGUCGUCACGUCAAGAGAACUCCACAGCGCUAUACAGCGACUGGAAGUGAUAAUAUUCGGGCAAAUGCAGCAACUCUGGCAGAGUCUAGAUGCGCUCCGCGGCCAUCUUGCGGGUGACACUCGUACUGCGCGCACGGCAUUCCCUGACCGAAGAUCUAUCGCGUUCCGAUACAAACCGGGCAUGUAGUUUAAGAAUAACUUGUGUCAAUAGCAUAAGGUUUAUUAUAAUGUACCUACCUUCUAUCUACCUCUUUCGCAGCUGUACCAACCAAUUGCCACCGGUGUAGAUUUUUUAGGAUUUUUAAUUUAUUUUAGAAUAGAUCUCAAUAAGUGUCAUAGAAAAGUUUCAUUUCCGAAAUUGUUUACCAGCUUCCAGCUUGUCUACCAGCUUUAUUUUACUUUGGGUGGAUCAAUGUCUUCCUAAAAUGUUAUUGUCGAAGCCCUAAUUUCACCUAACAUUCUUACUUACGUUUCAUUAUUACUUUUGGGGCAAAGGAAAUCAAAUUAAAAACGGCACGUAAUAAAUUUCAAUUUAUUAACAAUUAGUAACUGAAUAGUUCAGGUUUACACGGUCCAGUUCAAUCGUACGAUCCGUAGCAUGAACUUGACCGUGUAAUAACAAUAAAAAUACUUCGUUAGUUACAAUAGUUAAGUUAAUUAAAUGAUUAUAAGCCUAAAUGCCAUUAAUAAAUAUUAACAAAUAAACAAUUUAUUAUGUUUCCCUUAAGAUUAAUAUUUUGCAUUAAUAUGUAUGUACUCGUAGAAAACGGGAGAUUCGAGAGAUUAAAGAUUUUUGAAUCUUUACCUUAUAAUAAAUGGACGGAUUGUCAAGAGA
Molecule: long non-coding RNA, 1013 nt
Organism: Ostrinia nubilalis (European corn borer)
Lineage: Eukaryota; Metazoa; Arthropoda; Insecta; Lepidoptera; Crambidae
Exons: 2
Source: RefSeq, a predicted model, not a curated record